RNAcentral lists this ribosomal RNA (1115 nucleotides) under Anopheles sinensis. RNAcentral's name for it is "eukaryotic LSU rRNA". It matches the Rfam family "Eukaryotic large subunit ribosomal RNA", at positions 1 to 824 of the family's 3401-position model. The record is from RNAcentral. Lineage: Eukaryota; Metazoa; Arthropoda; Insecta; Diptera; Culicidae.
GCCUCAAGUUAUGUGUGACAACCCCCUGAAUUUAAGCAUAUUAAUAAGGGGAGGAAAAGAAACCAACCGGGAUUCCCUGAGUAGCUGCGAGCGAAACGGGAGAAGCUCAGCACGUAGGGAUGGCGGCCCGCCCGUCUAUCCGAUUCCGUGUACUGGUACGUCUCACUAUCCGUCUUCCUAGUGGUAUUCAAGUCCAACUUGAACGUGGCUUUGAACCCAUAGAGGGUGAUAGGCCCGUAGAACACCACCCAGCGGUUGAUGGACCGAGCGUACCAUGGAGUCGUGUUGCUUGAUAGUGCAGCACAAAGUGGGAGGUAAACUCCUUCUAAAGCUAAAUACGACCAUGAGACCGAUAGUAAACAAGUACCGUGUGGGAAAGUUGAAAAGCACUCUGAAUAGAGAGUCAAAUAGUACGUGAAACUGCCGAGGGUGUAAAGCCUGUUGAACUCGAUUAUCCGUAGUUCCUGGCAUCGUGGGUUUUGGCUGUCACGCAGAAGGGGGCCUUCUGUAUGCCUUGACCCUAGCCAGGAACGAGUGCGGACAUCGUGAUCCAUUACGCAAACCAAAUGCGAGCGGCGACUCCGGUUGCUGCGAGCAUAUCCAACAUCAGGUCCCAGAACAUGCGGUCGACCCUCUAGUAGUGGCGCUCAGCUUAAGGCCGGCGUUGCGAACGGGGGAUCGAGGCUCCGGUCUCGAGUUCGGCUAGUUCCGGUGUGCCGUUGGAUGCGUGAUGGGCAUUGAAGUGAACUAGAGAAGUGUGAAGCGCAUGUUUGGGCAUGUUCAAGGGCGAAAGCCUGAGCCGAGCACGACUCCGGAUCUACGAUGUACUAACUAAUCGAGGUACCUACGGGACCCGUCUUGAAACACGGACCAAGAAGUCUAUCUUGCGCGCAAGUCAAUGGGAGUAGCAAACCCAAAGGCGAAGAUAACACAACUGCAAAGUCGUUGCGGGAUUACGGGGGCACCACAGUCCGCGAGGACUGGCUAGCUGUGCCGCCCCUCCAUCCCCGGGUGUUUAGCAACGGAUCUGUAGUGCCGCGGACCCCCCGACAGGGGUGGGCAUUUGCAGAGCCAACGCGACAUACCGCGAGCGCGCAGGAUGUGACCCGAAAGAU